AACGAACGCUGGCGGCAUGCCUAACACAUGCGAGUCGAACGAGACCUUCGGGUCUAGUGGCGCACGGGUGCGUAACGCGUGGGAAUCUGCCCUUGGGUUCGGAAUAACAGUUAGAAAUGACUGCUAAUACCGGAUGAUGACUUCGGUCCAAAGAUUUAUCGCCCAGGGAUGAGCCCGCGUAGGAUUAGCUUGUUGGUGAGGUAAAGGCUCACCAAGGCGACGAUCCUUAGCUGGUCUGAGAGGAUGAUCAGCCACACUGGGACUGAGACACGGCCCAGACUCCUACGGGAGGCAGCAGUGGGGAAUAUUGGACAAUGGGCGAAAGCCUGAUCCAGCAAUGCCGCGUGAGUGAUGAAGGCCUUAGGGUUGUAAAGCUCUUUUACCCGGGAUGAUAAUGACAGUACCGGGAGAAUAAGCCCCGGCUAACUACGUGCCAGCCGCCGCAGUAA
Molecule: ribosomal RNA, 449 nt
Filed under: uncultured bacterium
Lineage: Bacteria
Description: partial 16S ribosomal RNA
Rfam family: Bacterial small subunit ribosomal RNA
Source: RNAcentral